GGAGAGGCCAUAGUUCAGUAGUAGAGCACAUACCUUUUGUGUAUGUGGUCCUAAAUUUAAUCCUUGGCCCCUCUA
Podarcis lilfordi (Lilford's wall lizard) is the source of this 75-nucleotide non-coding RNA. NCBI's taxonomy places the organism in Eukaryota, Metazoa, Chordata, Lepidosauria, Squamata, Lacertidae. The record is from the annotation of a GenBank genome assembly.